UCAUGAAGCCCUUGGCAUUGCUGACACUUCUGCUCAUCACGAGUGGUUCUGCAGUGGGGCAAAUGUUGGAAUCUAAUGUGACUGGCUAUGUUGGAAAGGAUGUACUUUUAUCAUUUAACUGUUCUAAAGACCCUAAAGAGCUGAUAUGGCAGAAAGGUGAGAGAUUAGUGAAUGUUCAUUCACAAGACAAAAUCACCAUAGAUGAUUCCUACGUGGACAGGACACAACUCUUCAUAAACAUGGAGAAGAGAAACUGUUCCCUGCUGCUCCGCAACAUCUCUACAGCAGAUGCAGGACUGUACACCUGUUAUGCCAUAGACACUGUUGAUAACAAGGUCUGGACAAAGGAGUCUACAGAAGUUAAUUUAACAGUGGAGAUCAACCCUGAAAAAAGCGUCCAAACUGAAGAAGAAUCUGACACAGCUGUCCCUGUUAGUGUUCCCAUAGCGGUAGUACUGCUUAUACUGGCUGUUAUCCUGCUUCUAAUCCUACUGAUCAGAAGACAACAUCGGACACGCACGGUAAACAGUCAAUAUAAUAUGUUUCAAUGUUGUUGUUUUUUUUAUUAUCAUUUACUAAAUGACACAAAACAGCGUAGCAAAAAUGUCCACAAACAAUAAAAAUAUCUAAAAUACACUAGUCUAAGGGGUUGUUCACACCGAAUGCCUAUUUCUGUUUUAGACUGAUUUUCUAUGCAAACAUGAGCCAUUUAUUCAGCAUCUCAUGGCAUAAGCAUCACACUUUUGAAAUGUCAUGUUAAGUUGCAAACAGAUUAACUUAAAAAUGUGCUUCAAGACACCUGACACACAUUUUUGUUUCAGUCCUUUGCACUCCGUCUAUCUUCUUUUAAUUCCAAGAAUAUUACCCUUAAUGACGUUUGAGUUUUGCCAUGGUGCAGUAAAACCUUUUCCUGUAGUGGGCCAAUUCCUUGAAUAGCGCUCAUGGCAAAAGUAAACCUACACCAGUUGCAGUCACACACUUUCAGAGCACAGCUUUAGGGCUCAAGGUCCUGUGUUUGACAUGUGUUUAAUCAUAGUAUCUGUAACAUUUCCAAAAAGCCUGACUGUGUUUUUUUUGUUGUUGUUUUUGCUAUAGGACACUGAUUUACCGGCUGAGAAACCUAUGCUACAGAAUGUGUGAAGUGCUCUUGCUUGACAGUUUAAUGGACUUACUUCUAUGUUGUAAUGCAAGGUCCUUCACAACAACAACAAUGGACAAUAAGAGGCCUUAGCCCUAAACAAAUGCGUUCGCAUGUGGGCAUUACACAAUGGUGCGUGCUGAUCCGUCUCACUUUGAGACAGAUUAAUGUUCAGUUUUCAGUUGUAACACUGUUACUUGUUUACCACUGAAUUGUGAAUACACUGCGGAUAUACAUUCAGUAGGCAUUACAGUUUUGUAAUUUGACAAGAUUCUCCUUGUAGGAACUGUCUUUAUUCAUUCUUUGAAGAACAGAUGUGAGGGGUAGGGGACAUGCAGUUUGUAUUUUGCCUUUUCCUCUCUCUUUGAGACAAACUGGUGGUCUCAAUCCUAAACAAGCUUUCCAAAUAAUUUUAUUUUAUUGUUCAUAUGUGUACAGCAAUCAUUUACUAAGCACUCAUCAUGCAAGCUUCUUUACAUUUACUCUUGAAUUAGUUGUUUUACUCAGCCUGUGCUGAUUUCAUUUAUGUGGAAGAAAUAAUAUGGCACUCCCUAUGGGAUAUAUUUGCUUUUUUUACUGUACUAAAUUUCAUUUACUUUUAAAUGAAUUCUGUAAAGUGCUUCAAACCUGUCAAGGCAAUAAACCUUUUACAUAUACAGUUUUUCUUUGUAGU
Molecule: long non-coding RNA, 1811 nt
Organism: Cyprinus carpio (common carp)
Lineage: Eukaryota; Metazoa; Chordata; Actinopteri; Cypriniformes; Cyprinidae
Source: Ensembl